Molecule: ribosomal RNA, 1183 nt
Filed under: Halobacillus virgiliensis
Lineage: Bacteria; Bacillati; Bacillota; Bacilli; Caryophanales; Bacillaceae
Description: bacterial SSU rRNA
Rfam family: Bacterial small subunit ribosomal RNA
Source: RNAcentral
AUCCCCUUCGGGGGUGACGCUUGUGGAAUGAGCGGCGGACGGGUGAGUAACACGUGGGCAACCUGCCUGUAAGAUCGGAAUAACUCCGGGAAACCGGGGCUAAUGCCGGGUAAUCCUUUCUCUCGCAUGAGGGGAAGGUAAAAGAUGGCUUCUCGCUAUCACUUACAGAUGGGCCCGCGGCGCAUUAGCUAGUUGGUGAGGUAACGGCUCACCAAGGCAACGAUGCGUAGCCGACCUGAGAGGGUGAUCGGCCACACUGGGACUGAGACACGGCCCAGAYUCCUACGGGAGGCAGCAGUAGGGAAUCUUCCGCAAUGGACGAAAGUCUGACGGAGCAACGCCGCGUGAACGAUGAAGGUCUUCGGAUCGUAAAGUUCUGUUGUUAGGGAAGAACAAGUACCGUUCGAACAGGGCGGUACCUUGACGGUACCUAACGAGGAAGCCCCGGCUAACUACGUGCCAGCAGCCGCGGUAAUACGUAGGGGGCAAGCGUUGUCCGGAAUUAUUGGGCGUAAAGCGCGCGCAGGCGGUUCCUUAAGUCUGAUGUGAAAGCCCACGGCUCAACCGUGGAGGGUCAUUGGAAACUGGGGAACUUGAGGACAGAAGAGGAGAGUGGAAUUCCACGUGUAGCGGUGAAAUGCGUAGAUAUGUGGAGGAACACCAGUGGCGAAGGCGACUCUCUGGUCUGUCUCUGACGCUGAGGUGCGAAAGCGUGGGUAGCAAACAGGAUUAGAUACCCUGGUAGUCCACGCCGUAAACGAUGAGUGCUAGGUGUUAGGGGGCUUCCACCCCUUAGUGCUGAAGUUAACGCAUUAAGCACUCCGCCUGGGGAGUACGGCCGCAAGGCUGAAACUCAAAGGAAUUGACGGGGGCCCGCACAAGCGGUGGAGCAUGUGGUUUAAUUCGAAGCAACGCGAAGAACCUUACCAGGUCUUGACAUCCUUGGACCGCCCUAGAGAUAGGGUCUUCCCUUCGGGGACCAAGUGACAGGUGGUGCAUGGUUGUCGUCAGCUCGUGUCGUGAGAUGUUGGGUUAAGUCCCGCAACGAGCGCAACCCCUAAUCUUAGUUGCCAGCAUUGAGUUGGGCACUCUAAGGUGACUGCCGGUGACAAACCGGAGGAAGGCGGGGAUGACGUCAAAUCAUCAUGCCCCUUAUGACCUGGGCUACACACGUGCUACAAUG